CUAAUGACGAGUUUGUGUGUGAAUCUAAUGAGUUAAGGAGUUUGCGUGAGGAUCUAAGGAGUUCACUCUGUUUCUCAUCUAUACAUUAUACAUGCCAUGUAUGGGCUUAUGUCAGAUCAGAAUUUAUUUUGGUUCUGUUUAGGUGUUGAUCCAGUUUAACAUUUGCAUUAUAUCUUAAGCCUUGGGGUUGAGUUGAGCAAGAAGUGAGUCUAUGUUCUACUUUGUGAUGUGAAUAAAAAGAAUGGUGCCUGCGUUGUAAUCUUGAAAUUUACUAUUACAAUUUUCUUUACAAGAAUGUAGUUAUGAUUUGAAGUCGGAUUAA
RNAcentral lists this unclassified non-coding RNA (322 nucleotides) under Hevea brasiliensis (rubber tree). Lineage: Eukaryota; Viridiplantae; Streptophyta; Magnoliopsida; Malpighiales; Euphorbiaceae. The record is from RNAcentral.